UACACUCCUACGGGAGGCAGCAGUGGGGAAUAUUGGACAAUGGGCGCAAGCCUGAUCCAGCCAUGCCGCGUGAGUGAUGAAGGCCCUAGGGUUGUAAAGCUCUUUCACCGGUGAAGAUAAUGACGGUAACCGGAGAAGAAGCCCCGGCUAACUUCGUGCCAGCAGCCGCGGUAAUACGAAGGGGGCUAGCGUUGUUCGGAUUUACUGGGCGUAAAGCGCACGUAGGCGGACUAUUAAGUCAGGGGUGAAAUCCCGGGGCUCAACCCCGGAACUGCCUUCGAUACUGGUAGUCUUGAGUUCGAGAGAGGUGAGUGGAAUUCCGAGUGUAGAGGUGAAAUUCGUAGAUAUUCGGAGGAACACCAGUGGCGAAGGCGGCUCACUGGCUCGAUACUGACGCUGAGGUGCGAAAGCGUGGGGAGCAAACAGGAUUAGAAACCCCAGUAGUCCCAUG
RNAcentral lists this ribosomal RNA (451 nucleotides) under uncultured organism. RNAcentral describes it as "partial 16S ribosomal RNA". It matches the Rfam family "Bacterial small subunit ribosomal RNA", at positions 332 to 799 of the family's 1533-position model. The record is from RNAcentral.